This 64-nucleotide transfer RNA is filed under the name Melanotus villosus. Its description in RNAcentral is "tRNA-Glu". Lineage: Eukaryota; Metazoa; Arthropoda; Insecta; Coleoptera; Elateridae. The record is from RNAcentral.
AUUUAUAUAGUUUAAAAAAACAUUACAUUUUCAUUGUAAAAAUAAAACUAGAUUUUUAUAAAUA